Molecule: long non-coding RNA, 123 nt
Organism: Sphaeramia orbicularis (orbiculate cardinalfish)
Lineage: Eukaryota; Metazoa; Chordata; Actinopteri; Kurtiformes; Apogonidae
Exons: 3
Source: RefSeq, a predicted model, not a curated record
AUAAACCAACUACAGCUAAGGGCUCGUUUAUGCUCUACGUUAAAGUCACAGACGUAUACGGACGGAGCGCUCUAUCCGUAUGUAAUUCUGCCCAUUUUCUGGGAGCAUGUGGAUGUGUACCCA